GGUACCUCUCUGUCUUUGCUUUUUGUAGGAGUGGGUAAUCAUUCACAGGUUGCAACUGGAAGGUUAAAAACUUGAACUGUCUUGGGCUUGAAUCUGCAGAUUGUAUGUGUGGCACAUUUAUUUGUAUGCAACCAUGAAGUCAAAUGUUUGCUCUAGAUUAUCAUUAAAAGACGAAUAUAGAACUUAAUUGUUCAUACCUUCCAAACUGGCUUACCAACUAUGGGGAUCUGCUCUUCUCCUACUUUUCCUUCUGCAAAAUUUUCUUUCAACUAAUCAACACAGUAUGCGCCAUAUCAUUACAUGUGGAAUUCUCAGGUAUACUGGUGGAUGGUGGUACACAUGGUUGGGUUCAAGUCCCAUAGAAGCCAAUAACACGGUAUCUGUGUUCCAUAACUGCUUAUUGAUCCCAAAACAAAGCUCUAGAAAAGAAAAGGUCUGUUUGGAUGUAGUACUACUUGCUAUUGUUAGGAUUUUGCUCCCCACUCAAUUGAUGACUUAUAUGUAGGAAGAUCUCUAAUAUAGGAAGUUGGAUUGGGACCAAAAUAUUUGGAUCCCUGAUUAAAUGCGCACAUCAUUAACUCAGAUGAACCAUAUGAUUUUGAUAGAAGAGCACUCUAGACGAAUCAAUAAUGUACAGCCCUCGAAAUACUUGCUUUUGUCUUCUGAUAUAAGUAGAGCAACUCCCACCUUUUAGACUAAUCCUCAAAAAGUAGAGGUGGCAUAGGUUCUAUCAUUUAUACUCACAUUAAUGACAUUAUUAAAGAGAGUUUAACAUAACUAUGCUUCGACUUGAAUUCUCUCUUGAAGGUUUGAGUGUUAAGUUCUUUAUCUUGAUACCCAGGAGCAACUCUUAACUUCUUAUGAAAAUAAAGUUUAAAAACUUUACUUAUACAAACUUGGCAUAUUGGGUUCUCCUAGUUAAGGUACAACUGUAAAAGCAGCUCUUUCAACUGCUAAAUUUGUUGAAAUACUUCUUUCAUUACCUCGUGGUUUCGAUUCACUUAACCCAAUUAAAAAGGUUAAAAUUUAAGGAAUAUAUAUAUAUAGAGCUUCCUGCUCAGUUUAGCUCACUUUUAAGUAACCUAACUUGUUACCAUUGCUUGUAAAAAAAUAAUCAGGAGCAAGUUAGUAACCCAGAAUCAAGCCCCCCAUCCCAAGCUGAAGUAAAUGAUAAUUAUUACCUGAAUGUGCAAUGCUAAUGAAUUGUUAUUUGCAUGAAUCACCAGACUGAAGAUACAAGUUUGAAGUCGACGCCAGUUGCCUCUAAAGAAGCAACUGCUGAUGCAAAUGAAAAGCUAGAAAAAAAGAAAGGACUUAAAGUUGAUCUUCACAAGAUUGGCACUUCAAACUCAUCUUUGAAGAAAGAAAAGAACAGAAUAGUACCUUUUGUGACAACAGCGGAACUUGAGUUUAGCCAUGCUGAUACUGAUCACACUGCGGCACCAUCAGAUUUGCUUUUAGAGUUGCUGAAGCAAGGGAAAGGACACAAGUCAGAACCAAAGAAA
Molecule: long non-coding RNA, 1505 nt
Filed under: Panax ginseng (ginseng)
Lineage: Eukaryota; Viridiplantae; Streptophyta; Magnoliopsida; Apiales; Araliaceae
Description: long non-coding RNA (PGIN_LNC016624)
Source: RNAcentral